AUUGAACGCUGGCGGCAGGCCUAACACAUGCAAGUCGAGCGGAUGAAGGGAGCUUGCUCCUGGAUUCAGCGGCGGACGGGUGAGUAAUGCCUAGGAAUCUGCCUGGUAGUGGGGGAUAACGUCCGGAAACGGGCGCUAAUACCGCAUACGUUCUGAGGGAGAAAGUGGGGGAUCUUCGGACCUCACGCUAUCAGAUGAGCCUAGGUCGGAUUAGCUAGUUGGUGGGGUAAAGGCCUACCAAGGCGACGAUCCGUAACUGGUCUGAGAGGAUGAUCAGUCACACUGGAACUGAGACACGGUCCAGACUCCUACGGGAGGCAGCAGUGGGGAAUAUUGGACAAAGGGCGAAAGCCUGAUCCAGCCAUGCCGCGUGUGUGAAGAAGGUCUUCGGAUUGUAAAGCACUUUAAGUUGGGAGGAAGGGCAGUAAGUUAAUACCUUGCUGUUUUGACGUUACCAACAGAAUAAGCACCGGCUAACUUCGUG
This 484-nucleotide ribosomal RNA is filed under the name uncultured bacterium. Its description in RNAcentral is "partial 16S ribosomal RNA". It matches the Rfam family "Bacterial small subunit ribosomal RNA", at positions 30 to 507 of the family's 1533-position model. The record is from RNAcentral.